RNAcentral lists this microRNA (23 nucleotides) under Panagrellus redivivus. RNAcentral's name for it is "prd-miR-7892-5p". Lineage: Eukaryota; Metazoa; Nematoda; Chromadorea; Rhabditida; Panagrolaimidae. The record is from miRBase by way of RNAcentral.
GGGCAUGACUAAAUCGCCUGAGC